GAUGAACGCUGGCGGCGUGCCUAAUACAUGCAAGUCGAGCGAACACACGAGGAGCUUUCUCCUCUGGCGUUAGCGGCGGACGGGUGAGUAACACGUGGAGAACCUACCUAUAAGACUGGGAUAACUUCGGGAAACCGGAGCUAAUACCGGAUAAUAUAUUAAACCGCAUGGUUCAGUAGUGAAAGGCGUUUUUGCUUUCACUUAUAGAUGCAGCCGCGCGGCAUUAGCUAGUUGGUAAGGUAACGGCUUACCAAGGCAACGAUGCGUAGCCGACCUGAGAGGGUGAUCGGCCAAACUGGAACUGAGACACGGUCCAGACUCCUACGGGAGGCAGCAGUAGGGAAUCUUACGCAAUGGGGGAAAGCCUGACGGAGCAACGCCGCGUGAAUGAUGAAGGUCUUCGGAUGGUAAAACUCUGUUAUUAGGGAGGAAGAAAUGUGUAAGUAAAUAUGCACGUCUUGACGGUACCUAAUCAGAAAGCCACGGCUAACUACGUG
This 497-nucleotide ribosomal RNA is filed under the name uncultured bacterium. RNAcentral's name for it is "partial 16S ribosomal RNA". It matches the Rfam family "Bacterial small subunit ribosomal RNA", at positions 28 to 507 of the family's 1533-position model. The record is from RNAcentral.